RNAcentral lists this ribosomal RNA (656 nucleotides) under uncultured bacterium. RNAcentral's name for it is "bacterial SSU rRNA". It matches the Rfam family "Bacterial small subunit ribosomal RNA", at positions 210 to 857 of the family's 1533-position model. The record is from RNAcentral.
UGCUGCCACUUUUGGAUGGGCCUGCGGUGUAUUAACUUGUUGGUGGGGUAACGGCCUACCAAGGUGAUGAUACGUAGCCGAACUGAGAGGUUGAUCGGCCACAUUGGGACUGAGACACGGCCCAAACUCCUACGGGAGGCAGCAGUAGGGAAUCUUCCACAAUGGACGAAGGUCUGAUGGAGCAACGCCGCGUGAAUGAAGAAGGCCUUCGGGUCGUAAAAUUCUGUUGUCAGAGAAGAACGUGCGUGAGAGUAACUGUUCACGUAUUGACGGUAUCUGACCAGAAAGCCACGGCUAACUACGUGCCAGCAGCCGCGGUAAUACGUAGGUGGCGAGCGUUGUCCGGAUUUAUUGGGCGUAAAGGGAACGCAGGCGGUCUUUUAAGUCUGAUGUGAAAGCCUUCGGCUUAACCGAAGUAGUGCAUUGGAAACUGGAAGACUUGAGUGCAGAAGAGGAGAGUGGAACUCCAUGUGUAGCGGUGAAAUGCGUAGAUAUAUGGAAGAACACCAGUGGCGAAAGCGGCUCUCUGGUCUGUAACUGACGCUGAGGUUCGAAAGCGUGGGUAGCAAACAGGAUUAGAUACCCUGGUAGUCCACGCCGUAAACGAUGAGUGCUAAGUGUUGGAGGGUUUCCGCCCUUCAGUGCUGCAGCUCACG